Long non-coding RNA from Neolamprologus brichardi, 604 nucleotides. RefSeq lists it as uncharacterized. The record is from RefSeq and is a predicted model, not a curated record. NCBI's taxonomy places the organism in Eukaryota, Metazoa, Chordata, Actinopteri, Cichliformes, Cichlidae.
UAUUUUCAUUGCUCAAGUACAACGAAAAAUCAUAAUGCUAAUGUCAACAUGAAACUAUAAUAACUGGCUUAAGUUAUCCCAUAAUAUGUGGUUAUGGAUAUGCGCUUUGAAAACGUUUACCUUUGGUGAAAUUAUUUCUCUGAUAGUUGUUUCCAGGUUGCAUUCAAAAACAUGUGCCUUCGUUAGCUUCUUUUCCCAGUGGGCUGCUAGCCAGAUUUUGGCUAGUGAUCCGCGCUUAGAAGUGAAGAGUUGUGUGUAGAACAACAUGUUGUCGCCACAGAUCAUCUGAAUCCAUCUCACCCUAACCUAACAUCCUUCUCUCUCAGGCUGUCUGCCAGUUGCUCCUACUCUACUCAACGUCAUACUCCAUGGAGAUCCCAUAUGUUAAGUACCUAAAGUACUCUUAUGCCCCAAUCACCACUACAAUAAAGUUACCAGGACAUACAUAUAUGCAAGUACUUCAUAAAACUGCCCACCCAAUUCUCAACCUUUCCACCAUUCCCAGUUGAGAGUACUAUUUAAUAUACAAUAUAAUGUUUGAUAAUGUAUAAUAACAGCAUGGAAACAACUCUUAAUUUGUCAUAUGUAAGUACUUUCCUCAAGG